GAUGAACGCUGGCGGCGUGCCUAAUACAUGCAAGUCGAGCGAACAGACGAGGAGCUUGCUCCUCUGAUGUUAGCGGCGGACGGGUGAGUAACACGUGGAUAACCUACCUAUAAGACUGGGAUAACUUCGGGAAACCGGAGCUAAUACCGUAUAACAUGUUGAACCGCAUGGUUCAACAGUGAAAGACGGUCUUGCUGUCACUUAUAGAUGGAUCCGCGCCGCAUUAGCUAGUUGGUAAGGUAACGGCUUACCAAGGCAACGAUGCGUAGCCGACCUGAGAGGGUGAUCGGCCACCCUGGAACUGAGACACGGUCCAGACUCCUACGGGAGGCAGCAGUAGGGAAUCUUCCGCAAUGGGCGAAAGCAUGACGGAGCAACGCCGCGUGAGUGAAGAAGGUCUUCGGAUCGUAAAACUCUGUUAUUAGGGAAGAACAAAUGUGUAAGUAACUAUGCACGUCUUGACGGUAACUAAUCAGAAAGCCACGGCUAACUACGUG
Molecule: ribosomal RNA, 497 nt
Filed under: uncultured bacterium
Lineage: Bacteria
Description: partial 16S ribosomal RNA
Rfam family: Bacterial small subunit ribosomal RNA
Source: RNAcentral